RNAcentral lists this long non-coding RNA (1843 nucleotides) under Homalodisca vitripennis (glassy-winged sharpshooter). RNAcentral's name for it is "uncharacterized LOC124361060, transcript variant X1". Lineage: Eukaryota; Metazoa; Arthropoda; Insecta; Hemiptera; Cicadellidae. The record is from RNAcentral.
AGUCUUGGGCCAAAAGCCAUUUCGUAUUUUGUGUCUCGGAUGUCGGAUGCUGGAAAUUGGUUGGUUUACUGCAGUUGAGCCUUUGGUUAGUUGUUUAUGUUUUAAUAAUACUGGCAUAAUUUGGCGUUUGGAUUUAGUGGGCGAUUCGAUUCAAAUUACUCAGGUAAAUUAUGAAGCUUAUUGUGAAGAGUGAACAAGAUGAAGAAUAUGAAAUUGUCAUUCAUCCAGAUGACACAUUCAAUGAUGUACAAAAUCGACUCUUUGAAAAUAGAAGAGUUUUUGCUGACUUGGAAAAAACUGGCAAUGCCAAACAAGCCAUUCAGUUUGUCAGAAAAUGUAAUGAACUAUUUUGGAUGUUUACAAAAAUCUAAUCCAGAUAGUUUGGUGAAAACUCAAUAUACUCAUGAUUUAAUUGAACAUUUCAUCCCAGAUCGUUGUGACAGUUUUAGAAACACUGAAGAAAAUGUUUUGGGUGAUAAUUUUACCAAGCAAGAAGCUAGAGGACAUUUGUGGGGUGAAUUAGAAUUACGAAAUUAUGAGGUAGAUUAUAAGGAUAGUGUUGUCGAAAAUAAUUUUCCUGGUGUCGAUGAAGCAGCCUUCAAAUCUCAAGAUUUAAAAGAACGUAAAAUAAAGUACAAACACUUACAAGGAAGGCGAAGAAAAAGUCAGAUCUAAAGAUGAGGAAUACAAAGCAGACAACCAAAUUUCUGAGGAAAAUCAGUUAAAAAUAGAAGUUUUGCAACAUAAAACAAGUCAAAGUUCUGAUGAACUAGAAGAGGUUUUUAGAACUGAAGAUUUAGAAGAUAAGACAAAACACACAAUUUCUCAAGAAGACAAAGAAAAUGAAGCACUUAUAAUUGAAAAUUUAAAAAAUAAAGCAGAACCUCAAAUUUCUGAGGAUGGAGAAGAAGGAAUAUUUGUGAGUGAUCAGAUCAAUUUAGACAAUAUAUUUUUCCCAGACGAUCUACUCUCAGAGCCAAUGCCACUGUGCAGGCUCUGUGCCCAGGAAAUUUGUAAUGAUGAAUUGGCUUAUAUUCACGAUGUUGCCUCUAGUGACGGAACUACCUUAGCUGACAAGAUAAAUGCCUGUCUACCGAUUACUGUGAGCCUGAAAGACAAACUGCCCAAGCAAGUUUGUUCAGAGUGUCUAAUUCGGCCUGGACUAUAGCUACACGUUCUCGCAGAGUGUCAUUUUAGCAGAGGAAGCACUUCACACCUUACAACUAAGGUAAUAACCUGUCGCUUUAUACUAAAACCCAUAGCUUGUAUUAUUUUUGGACAGUGGUACAUCAAUACUGACAUAUCAUUCACAUGGGAAAGUAACUAAGCAGGUAACCUACGCUUGGAAAUCUUUGCCCUUGGAAUAUCUGCAGGGAAAUCUAAAAUCUAAGAAUACAGUCAAUAAUAUCACUGUACAUCCGAGAAGUGGUGAUAGUAAAGAAUUGCUCUCCGACACCACGAUUUUGCACAGCUAUACCACCAGGAAUAAAUCCCAGUACACAACCUUCUUUUACGCCACCUUUCAUUAUAUGAAAAGAAGCCAUCCUAUAUCGGCUCAAAAUUGUCAAACCAUUUACCAGUUGAAAUAAGAAAUCUCUGAGGGAAGAUGCUCAAGAGGAAAGCUAGACAAUUGGUUAUCAUAGAAACCUUUCUACUCACUGUUAGAGUAUCUAUAUCAUGAAGACAACUAAAAUGAUUAUAACACUAACUCAUAUAAAUAUUUUUAUGCAUUUAUGACACUAUCACAACUUUUGAUGCUUUGUGAAUAAAGAAUAGUGUGGUUUAAAAUUUAUUGAAUGCAUAUUUAAGACUAUAUUAUAUGAGAGAUACAUCCAUUGUCAAA